UUGCUGUGUCUUCCUGCUGUGCAUAGCUCUCACAGUGGAGUCUGGCGGGGUACACAGCGGUCUCCCUCUCCAUUUAGGAGGACAGUCCUGAGCAUAGGACUGAUCCUUAAGGCACAAGUAGCAGC
RNAcentral lists this small nucleolar RNA (125 nucleotides) under Sorex araneus (European shrew). RNAcentral describes it as "Small Cajal body specific RNA 11 (ENSSARG00000019588.1)". It matches the Rfam family "Small Cajal body specific RNA 11". From Rfam's summary of the family: scaRNAs are a specific class of small nuclear RNAs which localise to the Cajal bodies and guide the modification of RNA polymerase II transcribed spliceosomal RNAs U1, U2, U4, U5 and U12. ACA57 belongs to the H/ACA box class of guide RNAs as it has the predicted hairpin-hinge-hairpin-tail structure, conserved H/ACA-box motifs and is found associated with GAR1. ACA57 is predicted to guide the pseudouridylation of the U5 spliceosomal RNA at position U43. The record is from RNAcentral. Lineage: Eukaryota; Metazoa; Chordata; Mammalia; Eulipotyphla; Soricidae.